RNAcentral lists this ribosomal RNA (447 nucleotides) under uncultured bacterium. Its description in RNAcentral is "SSU rRNA". It matches the Rfam family "Bacterial small subunit ribosomal RNA", at positions 26 to 517 of the family's 1533-position model. The record is from RNAcentral.
AGAGCGAACGCUGGCGGCAGGCUUAACACAUGCAAGUCGAGCGGGCGUAGUAAUACGUCAGCGGCAGGCGGGUGAGUAACGCGUGGGAACGUACCUUUUGGUUCGGAACAACACAGGGAAACUUGUGCUAAUACCGGAUAAGCCCUUACGGGGAAAGAUUUAUCGCCGAAAGAUCGGCCCGCGUCUGAUUAGCUAGUUGGUGAGGUAACGGCUCACCAAGGCGACGAUCAGUAGCUGGUCUGAGAGGAUGAUCAGCCACAUUGGGACUGAGACACGGCCCAAACUCCUACGGGAGGCAGCAGUGGGGAAUAUUGGACAAUGGGCGCAAGCCUGAUCCAGCCAUGCCGCGUGAGUGAUGAAGGCCCUAGGGUUGUAAAGCUCUUUUGUGCGGGAAGAUAAUGACGGUACCGCAAGAAUAAGCCCCGGCUAACUUCGUGCCAGCAGCCG